This 273-nucleotide ribosomal RNA is filed under the name uncultured bacterium. RNAcentral's name for it is "partial 16S ribosomal RNA". It matches the Rfam family "Bacterial small subunit ribosomal RNA", at positions 524 to 796 of the family's 1533-position model. The record is from RNAcentral.
UACGUAGGGGGCAAGCGUUGUCCGGAAUCAUUGGGCGUAAAGCGCACGUAGGCGGCCCGAUCAGUCCGCUGUGAAAGUCAAAGGCUCAACCUUUGGAUGCCGGUGGAUACUGUCGGGCUAGAGUCCGGAAGAGGCGAGUGGAAUUCCUGGUGUAGCGGUGGAAUGCGCAGAUAUCAGGAGGAACACCCAUAGCGAAGGCAGCUCGCUGGGACGGUACUGACGCUGAGGUGCGAAAGCGUGGGGAGCGAACAGGAUUAGAAACCCCCGUAGUCC